GACUCUAGAAACAGCGCCCCAGUCCAAAUGAAAUCAUAUUUACACAUGGAGGACCAGAGAACAGACUUAUGUUAGCAACUACACACAGAAAUAGAGAUCUUGACGAGAACAUGAAUGAGAUAAGACGGUUAUGUCUAUAAUGUUGUAAACCUCUUGACCCUGUGUUUUAUUUAAUUGAAUUGUUCAGCGUUAGGAUGCAGAACCAAAGGCAGGUUGAGGUUUAAACACUUGACUGCAAGAAGAGAUGAAGAAACAGCGUAGGAUAUUUCACAAACACAUCAAAGUCAUCCGGGUUGGAUGACUUUCCAAGGUUGAAUAUAAAAUCAGGGGCCCCAAGAGCAGUAACCUCAUCAACGAUUCCAAUUGCUGCAGAAGAACAGAACCAGUGAAGAUCAACCUUCUAGACAUGGCUCAAGUGAACUUUAAACUGGUGGUGACUGCUGAUGGCAAGAGUAUUGAAUACAAACCUACUACGGACUGCAACCAGAUACUCCUGUGGGCAUUGACAGAUUUGAAAGAUUCCGUCUCAAACUUCAGUUUCGAAUGUGGAAGCAAAUUUGGAAUGCCACCCUAUUUGACCCGGGUGACUUUUGGUAAUAAUAUUAUUACCAAAACUGAGAACAGCUUCUGGCAAGUUCUGGUCAAAAACCACAACAUGAUCACACCUGUUGGACUCUGCAACUACCGUGUCCAGGACAGUGACGUGAUCAUCCUGCGCCACAUGACCGUGUGAUCCUGACUGUGGCGCCAUUUUCCUUCAGGGUCCUGAAUAACACUGAGUGCUGCUCGACACUCAUUAAACAUGAUGAUCAUCUAAUCUGAAGAUAUCAAAUGUAAAAAUGUGUUUAAUUCAACAAAUGUAGAAAUGAUUUGGAAGUGAAUCAUAUAAAUUGGAAUAAAGGAUUGAAAUUAUCUCAUGCGUAUCAUUUCACUGUUUUUGCACACACUCACUCACAGUAACCAGCCCUCACUUCCUACCGUCCUAUCUCUUGGAUGUACACAAAAACAGAUCUUCACGUAUAUUUAUAUAGUUAUGAAGUUAUUAACAUGGUUCUUUAUAGUUAUUAUUAAUACAGAUAUAGAUAAUUAGCAUUAAUAUAGUUCCGUUUACAUUAAACUGCCUCCAUAAUAGAUUUUUUUCUUAAAAUAAGAUUUGUAAACGAAAUAGUACAAAACAUUACAUUUAAUUGAAUGUAUUCAUUUUUAACCAAACAGUAGAGGUUCAUUACCAUUUGAAAGCUGUGCAAAGAAUUUAUAUAUACAGAGAAAUGUCACAUAAUGCACAUAAAUCUUGUGUAUUCAAGGGUGUGUUUGUGUGUUUCUAUGCAGUGUGUGUGUGUGUGUGUGUGUGUGUGUGUGUGUGUGUGUGUGUGUGUGUGUGUGUGUGUGUGUGUGUGUGUGUGUGUGUGUGUGUGUGUGUGUGUGCUUUGGAAUGAAUAAGCAUGUGUUUUUGUGUGCGUGUUUUAUAGGAGUGUGUGUGUGUGUUAUAGGUUUUGUGUGUCUCACAAAAACAUGGGUGUUGCAACUUACUUCGGCUUUACUUUUGCUCACAAUUGCUUUGAAAGGCCUUGCCAGACCAUUGCAUAAUAGGAACUAUCAUCCGAUAUGUCUUUCGUCCUUCUACGUUAAGAUAUGUCUUUUGUCCCUCUACGUUAAUGUUUGCAGAUAGCGAGAAAAGAAAGUGUCGGAAAGAGAAUGUACGCUGUAUGCAAGAGUGCUCACCAAUACUUACCCUUCAUGCAGCAGUUGUCCAAUCAACCGCUGCAGUGUGUAAACUGUGUGACGACCUGGCUCCAGUGGUUAUCACGCAGGUUGCCGCAGGUGUUGAUGUCGUCCGUCAGAAUGGCCUCCUCAGCUCUGCUCUCGUUUCUCCUGCUGCUCUCUCUCUCAGGGAUGCUCGCCCAAAGUAAGCCUUGAAACGACUCCACACACAUUCAGACCUCCCUCCCCCCACCCGUUGGGUUCAAUGUGACAAUAGGUCAUUUUAGUUUUGUCUUUACGUGUUUUUGUCCUUAGUACCUGAAUGGAGACUGUGACUCACUGUUUAGGACUUGAAGACCUUUAGAACUGUUUUCUAAAGGGUCGCCAGGUUUUGAGUUGAGUUGAGCAUUAUCGUACUUUCUUUGGAAACCUCACUGAACAUAAACAAAGUAGCCACUCCUUGUCCACAACAUGACACCGUUCUAUGGUGAGUUUGGUCUUCAAUGAUCCACCAACUGUGACCAGAUGGAGGCCAGCUGCCCUUCAACCUGGUGGUGGUGGACGACCUACCCAACAGCAAACCAAUGAUGUACUCCGCACAGAGGCCUUCUGAACGGGCCCAUGAUCAGGCUCGCAAGGUCAGCCCACUCACAAAUCAUGAUUGUUUUGGAAGCCUCACUGAACACACAACAUAGAACCCACUCCUUGUCCACAACAUGGCGCUGUUCUGUGGUGAGUUUUACUUUCCAAAUGAAAAACAAUCGUUCAGUUAAAAAAAUAUAUAUUAAGUCACUUCUUGCUAUGGAUCUUAACUAAAACUCCCUGCUGAGAGACUUGACUUGGACUCCCUGCUGACUGACUCCCUUCAGAUAC
Molecule: long non-coding RNA, 2574 nt
Organism: Gadus morhua (Atlantic cod)
Lineage: Eukaryota; Metazoa; Chordata; Actinopteri; Gadiformes; Gadidae
Source: Ensembl